Hippocampus zosterae (dwarf seahorse) is the source of this 102-nucleotide long non-coding RNA. RefSeq lists it as uncharacterized. Lineage: Eukaryota; Metazoa; Chordata; Actinopteri; Syngnathiformes; Syngnathidae. The record is from RefSeq and is a predicted model, not a curated record. The transcript has 2 exons.
GGUGGCGGGGCGCGCUGGAGCCUAUUCCAGCUAUCUUUGGGCAUGGGGCGGGGGAUACCCUGAACUGCUUGUCAGCCAAUCGCCUCUUAACACGCAAAAUCC